CCAAACUUGGUCAUUUAGAGGAAGUAAAAGUCGUAACAAGGUUUCGGGGAGUCGGCCAGUGAUUCUAUGGAAGCCUUGUCCCCAAGUCUACAGCCAAAUUUAGGCCCUGGAAUGUAGGCAACAUCAGAGAUCUGACUGGGACCUACGCAGAAGUUUAGUAACCAGCAGCCAUUAGUAAAAGUACAUCUAAUGGUUCACAGAUCAAUUACUGGUGGUUCCAGUUCGUGGAAUUAAAAUAUGACCCGUAGGUGAACCUGCGGAAGGAUCAUUAAAGGUUUAGGGUACUCUGUGCCCAAACUUCAACCCUAUGUCUUGUUAAAUCUGUUUCUUUGCCGGUUUCUAUCGGCAGAAGAUUUCUCAAACUCAUUAUAAACGUGACAUCUGAAUUAGAAAUAAAUAAAUCAAAACUUUCAACAACGGAUCUCUUGGUUCUGGCAUCGAUGAAGAACGCAGC
Molecule: unclassified non-coding RNA, 454 nt
Filed under: uncultured fungus
Lineage: Eukaryota; Fungi
Description: partial contains small subunit ribosomal RNA, internal transcribed spacer 1, and 5.8S ribosomal RNA
Rfam family: 5.8S ribosomal RNA (bases 406-454)
Source: RNAcentral